GCAUAUCAUAGCGGAGGAAAAGAACCACAGGGAUUGCCCCAGUAACGGCGAGUGAAGCGGCAAGAGCUCAAAUUUGAAAUCUGGCCUCCCUUGGGGGGUCCGAGUUGUAAUUUGUAGAGGAUGCUUCGGGUGUGGCCGCCGUCUAAGUUCCUUGGAACAGGACGUCGUAGAGGGUGAGAAUCCCGUCUUGGGCGGCCGGUCCGCGCCCGUGUGAAGCUCCUUCGACGAGUCGAGUUGUUUGGGAAUGCAGCUCUAAGCGGGUGGUAAAUUUCAUCUAAAGCUAAAUACUGGCCGGAGACCGAUAGCGCACAAGUAGAGUGAUCGAAAGGUUAAAAGCACCUUGAAAAGGGAGUUAAACAGCACGUGAAAUUGUUGAAAGGGAAGCGCUUGCGGCCAGACUCGAGGGGCGGGGUUCAGCGGGUGCGCGUCACCCGUGCACUCCCCGUCCCCCCGGGCCAGCAUCAGUUUCGACGGCCGGUCAAAGGCCCCCGGAAUGUGUCGUCUCUAGGGACGUCUUAUAGCCGGGGGUGCAAUGCGGCCCGCCGGGACUGAGGAACGCGCUCCGGCUCGGAUGCUGGCGUAAUGGCCGUAAGCGGCCCGUCUUGAAACACGGACCAAGGAGUCUAACAUCCACGCGAGUGCUCGGGUGUCAAACCCGUGCGCGCAGUGAAAGCGAACGGAGGUGGGAGCCCUAGGGCGCACCAUCGACCGAUCCUGAAGUCUUCGGAUGGAUUUGAGUAGGAGCGUGGCCGUUGGGACCCGAAAGAUGGUGAACUAUGCCCUGAAUAGGGUGAAGCCAGAGGAAACUCUGGUGGAGGCUCGCAGCGGUUCUGACGUGCAAAUCGAUCGUCAAAUUUGGGCAUAGGGGCGAAAGACUAAUCGAACUCAUCUAGUAGCUGGGUUCCUGCGAG
Molecule: ribosomal RNA, 911 nt
Filed under: Microsporum canis
Lineage: Eukaryota; Fungi; Ascomycota; Eurotiomycetes; Onygenales; Arthrodermataceae
Description: LSU rRNA
Rfam family: Eukaryotic large subunit ribosomal RNA
Source: RNAcentral